CAGCUAGUUGGUGAGGUAACAGCUCACCAAGGCUUCGAUCAGUAGCCGUCCUGAGAGGGAGCACGGCCACACUGGAACUGAGACACGGUCCAGACUCCUACGGGAGGCAGCAGUGGGGAAUUUUUGGCAAUGGGCGAAAGCCUGACCAAGCAACGCCGCGUGGGUGAUGAAGUAUCUUGGUACGUAAAACCCUUUCGGCAGGGACGAACUCAAUGACGGUACCUGCGGAAGAAGCCCCGGCUAACUCCGUGCCAGCAGCCGCGGUAAUACGGGGGGGGCAAGCGUUGUUCGGAAUUACUGGGCGUAAAGGGCGCGUAGGCGGUCAGAUAAGUCAGCUGUGAAAACCUCGGGCUUAACUCGAGGCCUGCAGUUGAAACUGUCUGGCUGGAGUGUGGGAGAGGAGAGUGGAAUUCCUGGUGUAGCGGUGAAAUGCGUAGAUAUCGGGAGGAACACCGGUGGCGAAGGCGGCUCUCUGGACCACUACUGACGCUGAGGCGCGAAAGCUAGGGGAGCAAACAGGAUUAGAUACCCUGGUAGUCCUAGCUGUAAACGAUGGAUACUUGCUGUGGGGGGUGUUAAAUCCCCCUGUGGCGAAGCUAACGCAUUAAGU
RNAcentral lists this ribosomal RNA (610 nucleotides) under uncultured Acidobacteriota bacterium. RNAcentral describes it as "SSU rRNA". It matches the Rfam family "Bacterial small subunit ribosomal RNA", at positions 242 to 865 of the family's 1533-position model. Lineage: Bacteria; Pseudomonadati; Acidobacteriota. The record is from RNAcentral.